This 84-nucleotide transfer RNA is filed under the name Acetilactobacillus jinshanensis. It matches the Rfam family "tRNA". Rfam says of the family: Transfer RNA (tRNA) molecules are approximately 80 nucleotides in length. Their secondary structure includes four short double-helical elements and three loops (D, anti-codon, and T loops). Lineage: Bacteria; Bacillati; Bacillota; Bacilli; Lactobacillales; Lactobacillaceae. The record is from Rfam by way of RNAcentral. RNAcentral also lists the same sequence under 1 other name.
GCCCCAAUGGCGGAAUUGGCAGACGCGCGGCGUUCAGGUCGCCGUGGGAUUUUUCCCGUAUAGGUUCGAAUCCUACUUGGGGCA